UAAUCCACAACCAAUUUCACGUAAUUCAUGACAUAACGAGUAAGAGGAUGAAUCUCCCCAUUAAGCAUAGGCUUCUUGGAAGUCUCGCUCUGGACAGCAUUCUCAAACUCUGCAAAAGUCACUUUUGCAGCAUCUGCCAAUCCAGCCAGCACUCCCUUUGCAUCACGACACACCAACUCAUCCGUAACCAUCGACUGCAAAUCAGGCGAAACAUCUGCCAAUGCGUCAUACAUGUCCAAAAUCCUAAACAGCU
Molecule: unclassified non-coding RNA, 253 nt
Filed under: Hevea brasiliensis (rubber tree)
Lineage: Eukaryota; Viridiplantae; Streptophyta; Magnoliopsida; Malpighiales; Euphorbiaceae
Source: RNAcentral